This 986-nucleotide long non-coding RNA is filed under the name Nicotiana benthamiana. Its description in RNAcentral is "long non-coding RNA (NBEN_LNC038259)". The record is from RNAcentral. Lineage: Eukaryota; Viridiplantae; Streptophyta; Magnoliopsida; Solanales; Solanaceae.
UCUUCCAGGGCCUUCCGGGGCACGCUGGACUGUUCCGGAAGCAUUUUGGAGCUGUUUUGAGCUUGUUUUGGGGCGAAAAUAGUGCCGUCCGUAACACAACUGUGGAAAGAAGGAAUUUCCUAGAGCCGACGAUAUCCGUUUUACUUUCGAGUUAAUUUGAGUUUUCGUUGAACAACGACUGUAACUGAGUCUACAUCAAGGUUUUAACUAAAAUCCUUUGCUAUUGUAUCAGACGUCCUAUCUUAAUUAUUACACGGUCUAGAGAGUUCUACUACAUUCUAGGUAGAUACAAGAGUGUUCUAGAGAGUUCUAGAGUGCUCUAGAGAGUUCUAGAGAGCUCUAGAGAGUUCUAGAGAGCUCUAGAGAGUUCUUAGAGAUCUCUAUAAAUCUCUACACCUAGUAGAAUCUACAAGAUAACAUAUGAUGCAGUUAUUGAUAAAUGGUAAGUGUGGAAUUCUUUUGAUGUUAGACAGGUGGAGUUACCUAAAAACUUCUUUUGAAAUAUGACGUUUCUGCUCAUUGUCUUCAAACUUAAAUCAAUGAUCUAUUUGGGUUGUUAUCGCCUUCCCGUAAUAGUUAGCAUUAAAUUUGGUUUAAUAGUUAGAGCAUGGUUUUAUCCCUGGCCGAAGAAAAAUAAGAGGAGAAAAAGAAGGAAAUGGGUGCAACUAGAUCUUUUGAUCGGAGGCAUAAAUAAUAAAUUUGGUAGUCUUUUAAGGUGGAUUGUAUAUAUUUUGUAAAUAAAACUUGUUUAUACCAAGUAAUUAACUAAAUAUGGACAUUAAGGAUAAUAAAAUUUCAAAUAAUGUAUAGAAUGAAAAAAUCCUUUUAAUCUAUACCCAUUUUUUAAAACACUUUUAACUUGUACCCACUUUUGAAAUAGCUUUAGCCCUUUUCUCCUCGUCCUCCUCCUCCUCCUCCUCCUCCUCCUCCUUCUGCUUUUGCUGCCGUUUACAAAGAAAUUAUAAAUAAUUACGUGAGUUGGUAUA